Molecule: ribosomal RNA, 512 nt
Filed under: uncultured bacterium
Lineage: Bacteria
Description: partial 16S ribosomal RNA
Rfam family: Bacterial small subunit ribosomal RNA
Source: RNAcentral
GAUGAACGCUGGCGGCGUGCCUAAUACAUGCAAGUCGAGCGAACAGACGAGGAGCUUGCUCCUCUAACGUUAGCGGCGGACGGGUGAGUAACACGUGGAUAACCUACCUAUAAGACUGGGAUAACUUCGGGAAACCGGAGCUAAUACCGGAUAAUAUAUUGAACCGCAUGGUUCAAUAGUGAAAGACGGUUUUGCUAUCACUUAUAGAUGGAUCCGCGCCGCAUUAGCUAGUUGGUAAGGUAACAGCUUACCAAGGCAACGAUGCGUAGCCGACCUGAGAGGGUGAUCGGCCACACUGGAACUGAGACACGGUCCAGACUCCUACGGGAGGCAGCAGUAGGGAAUCUUCCGCAAUGAGCGAAAGCCUGACGGAGCAACGCCGCGUGAGUGAUGAAGGUCUUCGGAUCGUAAAACUCUGUUAUUAGGGAAGUACAAAUGUGUAAGUAACUAUGCACGUCUUGACGGUACCUAAUCAGAAAGCCACGGCUACUACGUGCCAGCCGCCGCCGUAA